Long non-coding RNA from Canis lupus familiaris (dog), 1073 nucleotides. RefSeq lists it as uncharacterized. The record is from RefSeq and is a predicted model, not a curated record. The transcript has 2 exons. NCBI's taxonomy places the organism in Eukaryota, Metazoa, Chordata, Mammalia, Carnivora, Canidae.
CCGAGUGAGCCACCCAGGUGCCCCUGGGUGGUUUUUUUAAAAAAAAACAAAAAAAAACAGUCUAUAUACUCUCUUUCCCUCAAUCUCUCUUUCACAUACACUCAGAUAUUCUUUCUCUGAAACAUGUGCAGACAUCAUGAUGCUUCGGUAUGUUUUUCCGCAGAGUAAGGACAUUCCCCUCCAUGCCCACCAAACCACCAUCCCCUAAGAAAACUGGUAAUAAUUCCAUAGUAGCUAAUGAGCCAUCAUAUCAGCAAUGCCAAGAAUAGUUUCAGUUGUUUUUCCUUUUUUUUUUUUUUUGAUAAGAAUCCAACCAAGGUCAGCCAUCACAUGUGCUUGCUUUGUCUCUUGGGAGUCUGUAGACCUUCUAGCCCAACCUUGUCAUUUUGGGCAUGAGAAACAUUCUGUUGGGAUAAGGUGAUUUGGGCUCAAGGCCAUUGCACAGCAUGCACUCCAUUUUACGUAAGCAAGAUUUCAUGGUCAAGAGAGCUUUAAGUUUUAAAAUCCUUUUAAAAUGAUGAGUAUCAAAAGUGGCAUCACAGCACAGGAAUGACUACUCCUCCCAGCAGGACUGAGCCCUCUCACGUGUCACAUAGUAUAGGGACACUUGCAUUCCGUAGCUCAGUGAAUGCUUCUGCAAACCCCCGGGGUGACGGCGUGGAGAGCUGUGGUCCCCGUUGGUCUCUGUCUGUCCCUGUCACAUAGGAGAGGCUCAGCGCUCUUUUCCAGUCUGCCCGAGGCCUGGUGGCUGGUGGACAACCCGGGUGGCACCUCGCUGAGCUUCUCUCCCACUUUUCUGCCUGGACCCUCGGAGCGUCCAUCCAUGCUGCUGCUUCUGAGUCUCUCAAGACCUUAUCUGCGAACAACACGAGAGAGAGAGGCAAAGACACAGCAGAGGGAGAAGCAGGCUCCAUGCGGGGAGCCCGACGCGGGACUGGAUCCCGGGUUUCCAGCAUCACGCCAUGGGCCGAAGGCAGUGCUAAACCGCUGAGCCACCCCGGCUGCCCAAGACCCUGUUUUAGAUUGACGUGGGACUACCAGCCCAUAUCUCUAAGUAAAGUUGUUCAACCUGU